Long non-coding RNA from Chelmon rostratus (copperband butterflyfish), 1261 nucleotides. RefSeq lists it as uncharacterized. Lineage: Eukaryota; Metazoa; Chordata; Actinopteri; Chaetodontiformes; Chaetodontidae. The transcript is spliced from 2 exons. The record is from RefSeq and is a predicted model, not a curated record.
CGAAAGCAGGAGGGUGUCGUUAAAAUGGCGGCCGCGGCUGUGUUUGCCGAGCUGAAGUUCAGAGACGGAUUAAGAGAGAAAAUCAGCUUUAAAGUAGAAAAUAAUAUGACUUCUUUGAUCGAGGCAGUUCAAGAGCUGAACACGCACGUAUCAAGACUUCUCAGCGAUUUGGUUGAGCGGGAAAAAGACCGCGGAGACUGCGCAGAAGGUGAGGAAGAGGAGGAGGACAGUGAUGAUGAAGACGAGCAGCCAGAUAAUCUUCAAAACUCUGAAAUACAACCUCCAACAAAAAGAUCCAAAACCUGAAACACCUGGAAAUACCUGAGGACUCAAAUCACUGUUUGACCCGAAUGAACUGACGACGAUGAUGAUGACCAGUGAUCAGCCACAUGAUUCACUAGCAACCAAAUAAAGCAGCUACACGUGUGUCGUUCAGACUUAUGUUGAGACUGAAAAUAAAAUGUGCUUUUCUAAACGUCUGUAAUCAGUCUGCUUCUCAUACUCCAUCACCAGCUGAUCACUAAUCAGGUACAGGUGAGCUCAGAUGUCACACUGCCAGACUACAACCAAUCCAAUCAUUUCCACCACUUUAAAUAACUUUAAAACAGACGGCAGUCAGGUUUUUGUCACCUGAGUCUUCAAUAUCAGGCCAAAACAAGAAGAAGGUAGCAAAUAAAAGAGUAAAAGUGGUCUGAAUUUAUUACAUGAAUGUGAUAAUACAUUUUAAUCAGUGGUUUCUCACGUUACCGUGGAAACACGGGGCCUAACUUGGUUUGUUUUACCCCUACAAACCAGAUGUCAGUAAAUAUAGUUUGUGGCUUGUUGCCUGAAGGAGAGUGGAGUUUACUGAGCACCUGAGUUCAGGUGAACUAGAAGCUACCUUUAAACUCACACUGCUGCACUCCUUUAUAAAUGUUGUAUUUUACUUUAUGUGCCCGAUUUUACCUUUAUUAUUUUUAUGCCAUAAUUUGAUGCUUUAUUCUUAUUUUUAUUUCCAUUCUUAUUCUUUUACCUAGAUUUUGAUAUUUUAUUCUGUGGUUUAAUGCAUUGUCUUUAUUUUCAUUUCCAUCCUCACUGUCAUUAUUGAGUAAGUUUGAUUCUCGAUCCUAUUUUAUAUUCAUUUUUUACCUGUUUUUAUGUCCUUUCUGUCUUUUCUAUGGAAAACACUCACUUGGUGCUUGUGAUGUCUUUCUUGUGAAGCACUUUGAGCUGUAAUCCUGUAUGAAAGGGGAUAAACAAAUAAAGUGUAUUAUUAUUACCA